This 497-nucleotide ribosomal RNA is filed under the name uncultured bacterium. RNAcentral's name for it is "partial 16S ribosomal RNA". It matches the Rfam family "Bacterial small subunit ribosomal RNA", at positions 28 to 507 of the family's 1533-position model. The record is from RNAcentral.
GAUGAACGCUGGCGGCGUGCCUAAUACAUGCAAGUCGAGCGAACGGACGAGAAGCUUGCUUCUCUGAUGUUAGCGGCGGACGGGUGAGUAACACGUGGAUAACCUACCUAUAAGACUGGGAUAACUUCGGGAAACCGGAGCUAAUACCGGAUGAUAUUUUGAACCGCAUGGUUCAAAAGUGAAAGACGGUCUUGCUGUCACUUAUAGAUGGAUCCGCGCUGCAUUAGCUAGUUGGUAAGGUAACGGCUUACCAAGGCAACGAUGCAUAGCCGACCUGAGAGAGUGAUCGGCCACACUGGAACUGAGACACGGUCCAGACUCCUACGGGAGGCAGCAGUAGGGAAUCUUCCGCAAUGGGCGAAAGCCUGACGGAGCAACGCCGCGUGGGUGAUGAAGGUCUUCGGAUCGUAAAACUCUGUUAUUAGGGAAGAACAUAUGUGUAAGUAACUGUGCACAUCUUGACGGUACCUAAUCAGAAAGCCACGGCUAACUACGUG